Molecule: non-coding RNA, 30 nt
Filed under: Rattus norvegicus (Norway rat)
Lineage: Eukaryota; Metazoa; Chordata; Mammalia; Rodentia; Muridae
Source: RNAcentral
UUAUCUCCUACCUUGAUUUCAUUUCCAAGA